CCUACGGGAGGCAGCAGUGAGGAAUAUUGGUCAAUGGUCGGGAGACUGAACCAGCCAAGCCGCGUGAGGGAUGAAGGUACAGAGUAUCGUAAACCUCUUUUGUCAGGGAACAAAGGCGGGGACGUGUCCCCGGAUGAGUGUACCUGAAGAAAAAGCAUCGGCUAACUCCGUGCCAGCAGCCGCGGUAAUACGGAGGAUGCGAGCGUUAUCCGGAUUUAUUGGGUUUAAAGGGUGCGCAGGCGGUCUGUUAAGUCAGCGGUAAAAGCCCGGGGCUCAACCCCGGCCCGCCGUUGAAACUGGCAGUCUCGAGUUGGAGAGAAGCAUGCGGAAUGCGCGGUGUAGCGGUGAAAUGCAUAGAUAUCGCGCAGAACUCCGAUUGCGAAGGCAGCAUGCCGGCUCCACACUGACGCUGAGGCACGAAAGCGUGGGUAUCGAACAGGAUUAGAUACCCUAGUAGUC
This 459-nucleotide ribosomal RNA is filed under the name uncultured bacterium. Its description in RNAcentral is "partial 16S ribosomal RNA". It matches the Rfam family "Bacterial small subunit ribosomal RNA", at positions 338 to 795 of the family's 1533-position model. The record is from RNAcentral.